GGUGUUGGUCUGUUCUCCCAUGUGCCUGGUGAUAGGACGAGGGGGAAUGGGCUAAAGUUGCACCAGGGGAGGUGUAGGCUGGAUGUUAGGAAGAACUUCUUCACCAAAAGGGUUGUUAGACAUUGGAACAGGCUGCCCAGGGGAGUGGUCGAGUCACCAUCCCUGGAGGUCUUUAAAAGAUGUUUAGGUGUGGAGCUUAGGGAUACGGCUUAGUGGAGGACUUGUUAGUGGUACGUCAGAGGUUGGACUACGUGAUCUUGGAAGUCUCUUCCAACCUAGGUGAUUCUGUGUUGCAGUCUCCAAGCUGGGAUACAGCCACCUGUUAGUUCAGCAUAACUGAAUUUUGUGUUCCUUGCGAUAGCUGUUCCUUCACCUCCUCUUCAGAGACAAGGACAUGCAUCUCUUUCACGCUCCUUCAUUAGUAAAGAAACCAGGAUAGAUCAAAGCCCGUUUCUUCAUGUCAGUAAGAUACCUGCCUUUGGUUUCAGUGAAAAUUCAGGCCCUAGCACCUGAAGUUUCUUCUGGAUGGUGUUUCUUCUAUAUAGGGUAAUUUCAUUUCCCUGUUGAAGACUUACAAGGACGUAGUAACAAAAGCAAAGGCAUAAAACAGUCCAGGAGGCAUAGGCAGCUUUUGAGCCUGCAGCAGACUAUAGGUAUGAUAUUAUCAUUUCAAACAAAUACAGUUUAUGUAACGUGAAUGGUUUCAGCACGCUUGCACUCUGCCAAAAGACAGAAAAUGGGACCUUCAUUUUAUGACCAGAUGGAAAAGAGAAACAACAACAACAAAAAUUUUCCUUCACCUAAUUUUUUUUAUUUUGCAACUGCUUCAGGUGUCCACGAGGAAUUAUGCCCCCCCAAAAAGACACUGUGGCAUAGAGAUAUAGCAGAAGACAUUCUUCUCACUGAAGUACAGUUAAGCCCCACAAAGUGCCAAAAAAACCCUGCCAAAAUGUAAUGUAUUUAUAAGUUAGUUUUACAUGUUGGCAUUAUUUACUUGUCUGGUCUUGCAUUCAAGGCUUGAUCUAUCUGGGGGUAGAAUAUGUAAUGCCGUGCAAGGUUGCUUAGUUAUACAUGUAUGACUGGCAAAAUGACUUUAAAAUUUUGAACUGUUUGUAUAGAAGCAAAAUGCAGAAGAGUACACUGUCUCCAAGGAAAACUACCUGUUGCUUCUCAUGUUUAAAGUUUUCCCUUAAAAUGUUAACAUGUUUGAGUACAAUUCUUACAUAUACAUGCACAUUUUCCUCUCCAAUUUCCAACUUGGAGUGCAACAUUUUUCAUCAUACUCUUAGAUGAGGAUUCUGAUUCAGAGGAGUCAGAAGAGAGCUUUUGUAGAAAGAAAAUGUAUUUUAGGAGGUUCCUUUUUUUUUUUUUUUUUUCUUUCAGAUAAUCUAAUCUUUCUUGGCUGCAAGACGUCUGCAGAUAUACAGAACAAACAUCCACCUUAAAUCCAGCCAGCUACAGAUCAGUUCUAUCCAUCUCUAAAAGAGUUUUCAGAAAAUUUGACAGAAGUAUGAAUGAAGGGAUUCUGUAUUAAUGAGAAUACUACCUCUCGCUUUACUUGGUUAUUUGUUGUUGUUGCUUGUUGAAAGCAGUAAUGUCUUUUUUUUAAGACUAAUUUCAAUAGCACUGCAUAUGCUUAUCUCUGUGGGUAACACAGGGUUUGGGAAGACACCAGUCAUAAUGUUUUGAAUCCUCUACUCCAGUUAAAGUAAAAUAUACAUAGGGAUAGGGGCUUUCACAGUCCAGUCCUACUGAGGGCAGUAACUUCUUCAGUAGCCCUAAUUUGAUGUGUUCCAUUGCAAACUAUACAACAGCUAUAACUAUUGAGAAUGCACCUGGAGGUACCUUAACCUCAGCAGACACCAGUAUUGUAGCAAAAGAGGUGGGUUAUUUCCUGGUUCUUCCUGCACCAAAAUAUGGGGUUCUUAGCACAAUCUAGUCCAUUCACCUAUCUU
This 1955-nucleotide long non-coding RNA is filed under the name Anas platyrhynchos platyrhynchos (common mallard). RNAcentral's name for it is "lncRNA (ENSAPLG00000019187.1)". The record is from RNAcentral. Lineage: Eukaryota; Metazoa; Chordata; Aves; Anseriformes; Anatidae.